Molecule: ribosomal RNA, 292 nt
Filed under: uncultured Planctomycetota bacterium
Lineage: Bacteria; Pseudomonadati; Planctomycetota
Description: uncultured planctomycete partial 16S ribosomal RNA
Source: RNAcentral
GGACUACCAGGGUAUCUAAUCCCGUUCGCUACCCUAGCUUUCGCGCCUCAGCGUUAGAAAAGGUCCAGCACGUCGCUUUCGCCACCGGCGUUCCUUCCGAUAUCAACGCAUUUCACCGCUCCACCGGAAGUUCCACAUGCCCCUACCUCCCUCGAGACCAUCAGUAUCCAAGGCAAUUUUCCGGUUGAGCCGAAAGAUUUCACCCCGGACUUGAUAGCCCGCCUACGCGCCCUUUAAGCCCAGUGAUUCCGAACAACGUUUGCACGGUUCGUCUUACCGCGGCGGCUGGCAC